GACCUGUUGGCGCAGUUGGAAGCGCGUCCGUGUAAAUGUCUGCAUUCUGUUCGCAGACUUGUGCGGGAGGCCUCGGUUUGAGCCCGGGACAGGUCA
Molecule: non-coding RNA, 96 nt
Organism: Mycena rebaudengoi
Lineage: Eukaryota; Fungi; Basidiomycota; Agaricomycetes; Agaricales; Mycenaceae
Source: the annotation of a GenBank genome assembly